This 468-nucleotide ribosomal RNA is filed under the name uncultured bacterium. Its description in RNAcentral is "partial 16S ribosomal RNA". It matches the Rfam family "Bacterial small subunit ribosomal RNA", at positions 28 to 507 of the family's 1533-position model. The record is from RNAcentral.
GACGAACGCUGGCGGCGUGCUUAACACAUGCAAGUCGAACGGAAAGGCCCUGCUUUUGUGGGGUGCUCGAGUGGCGAACGGGUGAGUAACACGUGAGUAACCUGCCCUUGACUUUGGGAUAACUUCAGGAAACUGGGGCUAAUACCGGAUAGGAGCUCCUGCUGCAUGGUGGGGGUUGGAAAGUUUCGGCGGUUGUGGAUGGUCUCGCGGCUUAUCGGCUUGUUGGUGGGGUAGUUGCUUACCAAGGCUGUGACGGGUAGCCGGCCUGAGAGGGUGACCGGCCACAUUGGGACUGAGAUACGGCGCAGACGCCUACGGGAGGCAGCAGUGGGGAAUAUGACACAAUGGGCGGAAGCCUGAUGCAGCAACGCCGCGUGCGGGAUGACGGCCUUCGGGUUGUAAACCGCUUUCGCAUGUGACGAAGCGUGAGUGACGGUAAUGGGUAAAGAAGCACCGGCUAACUACGUG